CUGGGAGCACAUGGAUCAUAGGUAAAAUGAAACUUUGUUUAAAUCAAGAAAUUGGUAUGUUAGUUUUCCACUGUGUAAGGGUUAUGUUCUGUGCAUUGUGCUCAAUUUGGCCUUUUGAGUGAAAUUCUCUCUGCUGCAGUGGCUGGUGAUCUUUUUUAAGUAACCCUAAUUCUUAUUGCAUUAUAAUAUUAUUCUAAUUUGAUCACAGUGAGCUAUACUCUGCAUUCUACUUCUGUAGCAAUUCUUGUAAAGUUGUGGCUUGCAUAUACAAUAUGUUGGAAAGGUGAUUGGGAGAAUUAAACUUCAUUUCAUAUGGGUGGUUUACAGCCAGUUGUCAACUUGUUUUUUUUUAGGCUUUAUUCAAACAAAUUGGAGUUAAUUUAUCAUCUACAGUAGCUUGUGGGAAUUUGAGAUCACAUGGGAAGGAUUUAAUGUGAGUUUGGUGUGGGCAGCAUCUGAAAUGACUUUUCCCUGUGUUAUUAUUGAUGCAUGUGAUUUGUGGCAGGCAGCAUUUGAAAUGACUUUUCCAGAAUGACAAAUGGUGUUAAUUAGUGAUGCAUGCGUGGCAUACAAUGCUGUAUAGUUUUCUAUUUGUUAUGCUGCACAAACUGUAUGGUUUUUCACUUUACAUAUUAAUCUAUGUCAGCUUUGAGGUUAUAGGUUCACAAAAUUGCAUCUUGAUUUUAUUUUUCAUUUGAGGGCAGAACAGAUCUAUCAUCCUGUCUUGAUCACAAAAUGCGUAUGCAACCCAGUUCAAU
Molecule: unclassified non-coding RNA, 758 nt
Filed under: Hevea brasiliensis (rubber tree)
Lineage: Eukaryota; Viridiplantae; Streptophyta; Magnoliopsida; Malpighiales; Euphorbiaceae
Source: RNAcentral